This 1445-nucleotide long non-coding RNA is filed under the name Carica papaya (papaya). RNAcentral describes it as "long non-coding RNA (CPAP_LNC014521)". The record is from RNAcentral. Lineage: Eukaryota; Viridiplantae; Streptophyta; Magnoliopsida; Brassicales; Caricaceae.
AAAAAAUAUCGAGAGUAUUGUGCUACUCGACCACUUCAUUGAAAACAAUUAACCAUGAGGAGUCCAGUAACUACAUCUGCUCUAGCUCUUGUAUAUCCAGUCAAUAUUCUCAACUAUAACAAUGUUGUGGAUGCUUGUACAAAUAUUUCUUAGCUUCAAGUCUUAAGUAAACACCAACUGAUUUAAGCAAGUUAUAAUUUUAAAAUCAAUAUAACCUGCUACAGAAGAAAAUAAACAUAAAUGAAAAAGGGAGUUAAAAAAAUUUUGGGUAGGGUUAAUCUUCAUGGCCAAGCCUUUUAAGGCAGGAAAAUUUUAAGUGUCUUGAAGUCAAAUCUUUGGCAUUUAGGAAUUAUAAUUUUGGAUGAAUAUCUAAACUUUUCCACCUACCAUUUGAACAAAGAAUAUUAAUAUUGGAAUGGUAGAAGAGACACUUCAAGCAUCAAGGAUACCACUACAGCUCUGACAAUGUCACCCGGACGAAAUGACAGAUGCAUAUCCACUUUGUCAAUCUCUGUUGCUCUAACAUCUUGCUGCCUGAAAGAUCAGAGAUGUUUUGAAUUUUCGUAGUUCUCUGAAAAUGCUUAUUUAAUUAAUAGAACUAGUUAAAUGUAUGAAUAUCGAAUCGAGAAUAGUUCAAUGGGAACUUCAAACAGAUCCGGCAACACAAUGACAGAAUAAUUUAAUCAGGUCUUUAUUAGAAUGACUCUGUAAGCAUUACAUGCAAAAGAAAGUAAGACAACAAACAACGCACACUUUCCAAGUUUUAUGGAUCCAUGAAGAUAGUUUAAUAUGAUAAGAUGGGUACUGUGUACCAUGAGGGAAACAGAAAUUGCAGGAAAAAAAGGUUCUUUUUAUGCCAUUUCAAACCAAAACAUAGAGAAUAAAACUGUGACUGGUAUACAAAUAUUUUAUAGUUUUAUUCUCUAUAACCAUGCAUGCGUCAGUCUGUGUCUAUUUAUAUAUACUUAGUUAUGUAUGCCAAAUUAUAUUUAGAUAAUACCCAUAUAUGUAUUAUAUACAUUUAGCUACAUAUGUUGCAUAUAUGCAUGUUAUGUAUAUUGCCUCUAGCUGCCCCAGGAUCAAUAAAGGGGGACUUAAUGUCAUCCUGAAGAUUAAGAAGAAGCCUUGGCAUCACUUAUGCACUGAACCAAAUGCUGCAAUCAGAAAACUAUGGAGUUGUGAAACACCUUUUUCUUUUUUUUUUUUUUGAAUAACAAAUGUAACAUGUAUCAUUUAGUACAGACAUCAAAGGUGUGUAAAACCCAUGUACAAAAUUAUUUACAAGUCAGUAAGGAUAUCAAUUAGUUCUCUUAAAUUCUCCAUGUAGUACAACAGUUGAUUCAUAACCAAAAAACUGGGGAUUUGAAACCAUCUCUCUCAAAUUUUAUCAAUACCCUCUUCUACCCUUUCAAAAACUCUCCUAUUGUUUUCUCUGCACAUAACCC